This 4546-nucleotide long non-coding RNA is filed under the name Sus scrofa (pig). Its description in RNAcentral is "lncRNA (ENSSSCG00045026314.1, ENSSSCG00065026636.1)". Lineage: Eukaryota; Metazoa; Chordata; Mammalia; Artiodactyla; Suidae. The record is from RNAcentral.
UAGCCUGGGAACCUCCAUAUGCCACGGGUGUGGCCCUAAAAAGACAAAAAAAAGGAAAAGAAAUGGAUGAUGGAGACAUGAUGAUGAAUAGAUGAUAAGUAGAUAGAUAGAGACAGAUGAUAUGCAGAUAAUGAAUAGAAUGACAGACAAUAGAUGCUCGCUCGCUGGGUGGGCAGACAUGGCAGCAGAUGGAUAGCAGGCUCUGCUUCUGUAUCUCUCCGUCUCCUCUCCUUUCUCUUCCUCGGGAGAGACCAGACAGCACCUGGCCCAGAGAACACGAGCCCCAGCAGAACCCGAGCCCCGCUCCCAUGUGGCUCAGGGCAGAGUUCAUUCCCAGGCGUGGUCCCCACACUAGGACUGAACUCUUUCAGUAACUGCUGGCCCAGCGCCCAACCUCGGGGGCCACGUCUAGACAGGUCUGGUUUCCGGCAUCUGAGCCAAGCACGUGCUCGGGUGUUCUGGCGGCCCCCACCCUGGCCUGCGCAACGCUCUAAAUACCUGUGGUCUAUGAACCGGGAGUCAAGAUAAGUAGGAUGUUAUGGAAACGUCUAAGCUUCCGAUGCUGCAUGGGGUUUUCAGGCUGUGCCGUCGGGUCUCAGGUGGCGAAGAGUAUUGGGAGGGGUCAGCGCCUCUGGGCAACUCCUGUCCAUUCUUGUUAAGUUCUGUUUCACACCCCCGCUGAGAUGGGUUUGCAUCCCCUCAGGUCAUGCUGCCCCACAGGCGUCAUUUGUAGGGACCUGGGAAGCUGCCCGUAGUCGUCACCAGGCAGGGGUCUUGGCAGAUCCCGGCAGCCUCUGGGGGCCUGGCUCUGUCUGCAGUGUCAGGAGGCUGGGAAGUUGCUCCAAGCCAUUGUGGGAACCUCGGUGCCUCCAUCAAGCAGCAUGGCCAUCUGUGUUCCUCCGUGACCAUGGCGUGGCUUCGUUUUUUUCGCCCAGCAAUUCGCGGGAUGGACACACCCCUCAGGAAUCUGGUCCCUCCCUCUUCCCCGUGGGUAAUUCAGAAACGAGGAGUUCCCAUCAUGGUCCAGUGGUUACAAACCCGACCAGUAUCCAUGAGGACAUCAGUUCGAUCCCUGGCACCUCUCAGAGGAAGAAGGAUCUGGCGUUGCUAUGGCUGUCGUGUACACCUGCAGCUGCAGCUCCGAUUCGACCCCAAGCCCGGGAACGUCUGUAUGCCGCAGGUGCAGCCCCUAAAAAGCAAACUAAAUUAACAAAUGAAAAAGGAUCCUUGUCGUUGACUUAGCAUUCAGGAAAAAGAAGGUUAUCUGUGUGCCUGUUUAGAGCAAUACCUCCAAGCCUUUCAGGAUACGCCAGAGGGACGUUUCUUUCCCCAGAGUCAGCCCCUCUCCCUGGCUCCCAUCCACCAGCCAUCGCGUCUCUUCUUCUAUUUCCAAACACUCAUAUAUGCCAGGUGGGCCAAGUGGGUGGACACGCCUGGGUACCCCUCUCUGUACAUUCCUCAGGCUCUGACUUCACUCCGCAGCCCUUUCCUAAGGAAAGGCUGGCCUCUCCAAAAAUCACACAGGCGCGAGGACUCAUCCCCGUUACCGUUUGGAAAACGGUCUGUGGGUGUUGGGACGUGCUCUGCCGGUGCUCAGCUCGCAAAAAUCCCACCGUCUGUUCCAGGAUCCUGUCCUGGACUCGCCCCGCUGGUGGAGGUGCCUUCUCUGAGUCUCCCGGGUACGGGGCCAGCGGCCGCCCCCAGUGAAAUGAACUGAUGUCUGUGGACUCGGGCCAGGCCAGUGAGGCACGAGGAAGGCUGCAACUAUUUGCAGAGAACGUGCCCUGUGCAGCUCCCUAAAUAGCCGGGGUUGGGAAGAGCCGGAAGCUGGGGUCCGUGAUGGCCAGCAUGAGGCGUCAAGGAGGUUGCUGUCCCCAGGCGUCCCUGGUGGUCCCAGAAUUCUUCACAAAGACAGUGAUGCCUGGGGCCAGGUUCGCUGGUGGCAGGACCCCGCGGGGAGGGGUCCACGUGGGAGACAUCUCCUUGCGACUCACGCCCCCAGGUGUGUCUGGUCGCAGCUGGAUCAUGACACGCCAACGUGGAAGUCCUUGACGGUGAGAACCUGGAGCCAUCGUCGCCGGGUGAGACGGAAGGGACACCGCCAUGCUUUGCGCGCAGCAGUUUCAAGGCGCAGAAGGCAAACGGGAUGCCCACGUGAAACUAUGCUGCAGCAGUGCCCGCAAAUGUGCCCGGGCUCGCACAGGAUUCCGACGUGGCAAGUCCCAGGUGCGGCUGGAGCCCGUCCAUUUGUGCCUGGCGCCCAGGUGAUCCUGCUGGUGGUGGGAGCGCCUCUAGAGAUGUGUUCUAGUGGCCUGGCGUCAUAGCCACUAGCCAUCCAUGGCUAACUAAAUGGCGUAAAAUAAAGGCAAAUCUAAAACCUUACUUCUUUGGUCCUAUGAGCUACAUUUCAAGUGCCAGGCAGCUGCCAUAUGGAUAGUACAGCAGAGAACAUUCUUCUGUCAUUGCAGAAAGUUCUACCAAACUCUGCUAGGGUAGGGCGUUCCUGCUAUGGCUCAGGGGGUUAGGAAACUGACUAGUACCCAUGAGGAUGUGGGUUCAAUCCCUGGCCUCACUCAGUGGGUCAGGGAUCUAGCAUUGUCAUAAGCUAGACAUGUGUUGGUCGCAGACACUUCUCAGAGUCAGCAUUGCUGUGGCUGUGAAGUAGACCAGCAGCUGCAGCUCCGAUUCCACCCCUAGCCUGGGAACUUCCAUUUGCUGCAGGUGCAGCCCCUAAAAAAGCAAAACAAACAAACAAAAAAAAAACUGUGUUCGUCUAGAGGCUGGCUGUCACGCAGGAACGUCUAGUUACCACGGGGUUAAUAGGUUUUAAUGUUUGGAGUGUUUUUUAUCAUAAGAUGCUAAGGGGCGUGGUACCUCCAUAAGAUUCUGAACACUGGUGUAAUGCCUUUUAUAAUCAGGGCACACAUACACCCUCCCUCAGAAUGCAAGGCUCCCUCGAUGAUCGAAAAGCCAGGCUUUCAUUUCCCUAUGAAAGCCUGAAACAUCCCCCCAGUUGCCAUAUUUCCGGAUAGGUUCGUGUGUGCGCACUCGCAGGCUCUAAUGCAGGAGAGCUGUACACAUCGACAGCUGCCGGGAUACCCCGUCUGCCUCCUCUCAUGUUUUCUUAGCCUUAUUUUCCAUUCUCUAGAGGAGCCAGAGACACGCAGAAUGAGGUUUCUCCUGAGCAGGAAGCGUGCCCGUGAGCAACCAGCUGAGAAGUCGACCCAUCACAUGUGAAAAUGAGAAAGUCCCGUCGAGGCCAGACCCCGCUGUCCUUGGAAAGGUGUUGAGUUGAUUUCUUCCAAGGGGUGAGGGAGCAAUUCAGGUUCCCUGCCCAGCGGGUGCUCUGCCUCCCUAGUUCCGGAGGCUGGACUUUCAAGACCUGCUGAGAGCCAUCUUCCUGGUUCAUCAAUGGACGUUCUCUCCAUCAGGACAGAGACAAGACAGUUCCUUCUUACCCGUGAGAGAUACAUGUAUUGUCCAUGACUCCGCAGGAAAUUGAUUUCCCCAACCCGAUGCAGAGAUGGGGAAGGGGGGAGCCAAAAGAAGGGUUUGCUGUCCAUCUUUGGCGCCAGAGGAGAAGUCAGCCCCCAGAAGCUAAGCACUGAGAAGUCCAGUCUUCCACAUCCAGGGGUUUCCAGAUUCCCACUCGUGUAAGAAAUGCAGCGUGAUGUCCCAGUUUUCGUGCUUUUCUUGAGAUGUGGUCCCCUUGGAGGAGCUUCCCCCGCCAGGAUGGAAUUUCAGAGCUUUCGGCUCGAGAAGAAGGGAAAUGCCCCGAACAGCCACCCCCCAGGCCCCUUGUGGCCGCUGAGAAGUUGGGGAGGAUGCAGCCAUAAAGGAGGAUGUGAAAAGUAGGCGCGAUCGCAAGGCACGAAUCUCGGAAUCUUCGUGUUUCAUCGGGAAGGCAGAGGAGGAAGGAAUCUGCGAGGUGCAGCCGCCUCUUCUGACCUCAGGAUGGACGGAGAGGGCGUGAAGGACCCGUCAGUGACCAGCUGUUGCACAGAGAGCCCAGGGGAAGGGGGUGCCCUGGCGGGCACAUGGGAACCGAUGCUGCGGCUCACGAGAAGUUGGAGGAACAAACUGCUUUGUCCCAGGAGAAGAGGAGCAGGAUGGAACAGAUGCCCGCUGUAAUCGUGGGCGGAACCGGAGGGACGGACGCAACGCUUGGCGCUUCCAAUUCUGACAGUGGCUGACCUCACGGGAGAUGGAUGGGGGAGGGUCCAGAUGUUUCGAUGAGGAAACGGAGGCCACUAAGUGUUGUGUAACGUCCCAAGGGGACCCAGCUCUGAAGCGGUGGAGUCAGAAUGGGUUGCUUAACAGCCACCCCCACCCUCGGCUCGGAAGACGUCCACACCCAGGUAUGAAAAUGCCCUGUGGGAGUGUCUGUUGCUGCUCAGCGGGUUAAGAACACAACAUAGCGUCCGUCCAAGGGAUGCGGGUUUGAUCCCUGGCCUCGCUCGGCGAGUUAAGGAUCUGGUGUUGCCACAGGCUGUGGUGUAGGUCACAGGUGCAGUUCAGAGCCUGUGUUGCGGUGGCUGUGGUGUAG